Molecule: ribosomal RNA, 815 nt
Filed under: Neoaulaxinia sp. 2 AS-2014
Lineage: Eukaryota; Metazoa; Porifera; Demospongiae; Tetractinellida; Phymatellidae
Description: eukaryotic LSU rRNA
Rfam family: Eukaryotic large subunit ribosomal RNA
Source: RNAcentral
UAGCAUAUCAAUAAGCGGAGGAAAAGCAACUAACCAGGAUUCCCCCAGUAACGGCGAGCGAAGCGGGAACAGCUCGAGCAGGCAAUCUCUGGUGUCGAUCGCCAGCGAAUUGUGGCCGGCAGAGGCGGAUGCACCCGGCGAGACUCCGUCGAAGUUGACCUGGAAAGGCACGUCGGAGAGGGUGAUAGCCCCGUGCGUGGCGGAGUCUCAAUGGGCCGCUACCGUCUUCGGAGAGUCGGGUUGUUUGGGAGUGCAGCCCAAAGUGGGUGGUAAACUCCAUCUAAAGCCAAAUAACGGCACGAGACCGAUAGCGAACAAGUACCAUGAGGGAAAGGUGAAAAGCACUUUGGAAAGAGAGUUAAAGAGGCCGCGAAACCGUUGGGAGGGAAACGCAUGCAGCCGAACGGGCCCGCGUCGAGUUCAGGGAACCGCGACCGGUCCCGCGUGCGGACGGCACCCCAUGGGUCGUCCGUGCGUGUCGGGCCUCUCGUGCUCCUGCACUCUCGGCGGCAAGGGCCGGCCAAGUGCGGUGGGCACCGGGCGACGAGCACGCGUCGGGAAGGUAGCGCAGCCGUCUCGCGCGGAGGCGAACUUAUAGCCGACCGUGCGGAGCGUCCGGAGCCCACCGAGGAGAGCGGUGGAGCUUCCACCCCCGUAGCGCAGGCCUGCCCAAGGGCGGGCCGGGGCGCUCUCGUCCGUGCGACCACGACGCCGCGUCACUGCCUGCAGUGUCCGGUGUCCGUCGGUCCGUUCGGGCGAGAGGUCGUCUCACGCCUUGCGCUGUGGUCGCUUGGCCAGCCGUCGGCUGCAUUCGA